UCGAGAAUCUUCCGCAAUGCGCGCAAGCGUGACGGAGCGACGCCGCGUGGGUGAUGAAGGCUUUCGGGUUGUAAAGCCCUGUCAGCUACUAGGAAACGCGGGUAACGAAUAGUUAUCUCGCUUGACUAUGUGGCAAAGGAAGCACCGGCUAAAUACGUGCCAGCAGCCGCGGUAAUACGUAUGGUGCAAACGUUGUUCGGAAUCACUGGGCCUAAAGAGCGCGUAGGCGGCCAGGUAAGUCAGACGUGAAAUCCCUCGGCUCAACCGAGGAAGUGCAUUUGAUACUGCCUGGCUAGAGUGCAGGAGGGGAGAGUGGAAUUCCUGGUGGAGCGGUGAAAUGCGUAGAUAUCAGGAGGAACGUCGGUGGCGAAAGCGACUCUCUGGUCUGCUACUGACGCUGAGGCGCGAAAGCUAGGGGAGCAAACGGGAUUAGAUACCCCCGUAGUCC
Molecule: ribosomal RNA, 448 nt
Filed under: uncultured prokaryote
Description: bacterial SSU rRNA
Rfam family: Bacterial small subunit ribosomal RNA
Source: RNAcentral